This 2196-nucleotide long non-coding RNA is filed under the name Gallus gallus (chicken). Lineage: Eukaryota; Metazoa; Chordata; Aves; Galliformes; Phasianidae. The record is from RNAcentral.
CAGACUUCGCCGUGCCCUGACUGCUCGCUCAACAUGGAGUUGUCUUCGCUAUUUUUUUUAUAAGCCACAACACCGAGAGAGGAGGAGGAGGAAGGAGAGGAGAGGAAGGGAGAACCGAACCCCGAAGGAUGGCUCUCAAAAACCCCGGCGGCUCCGGGGCAGCCGGGCGGAGAUACUUUCUGGAUUUAUCCUGAACGAGAAGUGGAAUUGUUGAGUUAAUGCCCAGGAAGCAGCCCUUCUCCCCAGUGCUACACCCUGCAGCCCAGGAGGCCUUCACACACACGGUGCUGAUCUGGAGAAUUUGUACCAAAUAUUUCCAGGCUGAGUAGGAAACACCACUCCAUCCCCACUCACUGGUGCUGGAUCUUGGUACAUUAUCUUCACAUUUCCAUACUGAGGUAGGGAGAUCUUCUAUGACCUCAUUUUCUUAAGCCUUGGAGAAGUGAUUUUGGUGUUGGUAACCCUCCUGGGAGGUGUAACAUAAAUAACGUGGAUUAAAAGAGAUGUGAUUACAUGUAAUGCAACCGUGCUGCUGUCUCAAACAGAUUUUAGAGUUCUUUGUGUCUUUUAUCCUCUGCCAUUCCAGUAAGCAGCAAUAUUUGCUUGCUCUUUCUUAAAUGGCUGUAUUUCUCAAAUGGCAGUCAUUUCUUAAAUGACUGUUUUUUGAUAAAUGCCAUCUACAUGAGGUAUUUCCUAGCAUGUGGUUUGCUGGGUGGUACUCUUAGCUCCUCUUGUUUUCUGUCUAGUGAGAUGAAUGAAAAGGUGUUUUUUGAACAAGACCAUCCAUAACGUGCUGGUUUUUUUCUGGGUGUCUUCAAGCCAAUGCCUUGUCAGGUUAUAGCUCUGUGUGGGCUUAGGGACUCCAUUGGUUAAUUAUUUGUCUUGGCCCUAACUCUUAGUUUCUGUCAUUAAAGGACAGGCCAAAUGAUCAGUGUCCUUGGCUUAAUCUUCUUAGCAAGUAAGCUGUCCAUUGAAUUUCUGCUCUAAUCAAACAGGCAUAAGGAAAGAUGAGAAAAUAAGAUUUCUGGCUUGUUUCAUAUUGCGUGUGGAUUGCUGAAAGUAAAUCAUAUUCCAGUGAUCUGUUUCAGAUCUUAAGUAUUCAGUUUCCAACACUUACAGUAAAUGAUGUGCUGGCAGAAGAAACAGAGUUAAAAACCAACCUUCUCUUCUGGCUCGUCUGGAAGUAGUCUCUCUACUUUCCCCAUUAGAUUUGGCACUGAAGAUGUACCCAUUGUCCAAAUGUUGUAAUGUCUUUCAAAAUGAUUUUUUAUGUAAGUAGAAUUCACCGAGUCACUGUGAAGUACCUGAUUUUAAUAUAUCUGUGUGUCUUGAAUAAUUAUAGAGUCAUUCAUAAAAGCUGGGAUACUCUGUAAUACCAAAGCUGUGUUUGUGUAAUAUUGAUAGCAGUAGAAAGAUUAAUGGUAGGAUUCACACAACGCCCAUCAGUAUCUUCUGUCUAGAUUGAGAAAUGAAAGGUGUGAGUUUGGGUUUGGAUUCUUUUCUUGAUUUACUUUUUUAUUCCUUAAGGAAGCUUUCUCUCUUGCUUUCUUCGUAUGUUUUUAUCUGUUGGGAGUAUUUUGUUUACAACAUAAGUGCACGCUUCAAUUUCUUGAGAAUCAUCAGCUUUACAAAUUAAAUUGAAGCCCUGGGAAAUUCUGUGAUGGGCAAAGAUGUGCGUUCUCUUUGUGUCCUUACUGACUCAGAAGAUCCCAAGUACAGCAUCUACUUUUUCCUCUUUAGUCAGGAACCUUUUCAAACGUUUGUAUCUUUUGUGUGUGGUGUGUGAUGGUCUUCAGAUUUUGUAAACUGAAUCCAGAGAUUGGAGUGAGGAAUAUUAACACUGCAAACCCAGCUUUCUUGAGUUUGAACGAAUAUUCUCGACUUUGAUCUGAGAAUGAGAAGGAAAGAUUGAUGAAACAGAGAAAGUACAGACAAGCAGGCAGAAGGUGAGAGAUGGGAGAGAAAGAUAAAAGAGGCUGAAAUGCAGAAUGUUUCAAACAUUUCAGGGAGAUUACGCUGUGUGGUUGUUUGUGCCAUUUAUAUGCUAUCGUGUCAUUACUAAUCUUGCUGUAUUGUAAAUUGUUGUAUUCUUUAAAAACAUCCAACAUCUACAAAUGGAAUAAAUUUUGGGACCCAUCUGUUACAGUUUUCAUUAAUGACUGUGGCAGAGGAGGCGGGGAGGUGUGGAGGGGCCCA